This 253-nucleotide ribosomal RNA is filed under the name uncultured bacterium. RNAcentral's name for it is "partial 16S ribosomal RNA". It matches the Rfam family "Bacterial small subunit ribosomal RNA", at positions 524 to 776 of the family's 1533-position model. The record is from RNAcentral.
UACGAAGGGGGCUAGCGUUGCUCGGAAUUACUGGGCGUAAAGCGUGCGCAGGCGGUUUGUUAAGUCUGCUGUGAAAUCCCCGAGCUCAACUUGGGAAUUGCAGUGGAUACUGGCAAGCUGGAGUACGGUAGAGGAAGGUGGAAUUCCCGGUGUAGCAGUGAAAUGCGUAGAGAUCGGGAGGAACACCAGUGGCGAAGGCGGCCUUCUGGACCAGUACUGACGCUCAUGCACGAAAGCGUGGGGAGCAAAAAGG